UUGAAGCUCAGUGAUAGAGCACUUGCCUAGAAUCCAUGAGGCCCUGGGUUCAAUCUCCAGCCCUUCAAA
This 69-nucleotide transfer RNA is filed under the name Marmota monax (woodchuck). RNAcentral's name for it is "tRNA.Ser". Lineage: Eukaryota; Metazoa; Chordata; Mammalia; Rodentia; Sciuridae. The record is from RNAcentral.